AAAAAAGGUAAGCUACUAAGAGCGAAUGGUGGAUGCCUUGACUGGUAAAGGCGAUGAAGGACGUACUAGACUGCGAUAAGCUACGGGGAGCUGUCAAGAAGCUUUGAUCCGUAGAUUUCCGAAUGGGGCAACCCAAUGUAUAGAGAUAUACAUUACCUAUAUAGGAGCGAACGAGGGGAAUUGAAACAUCUUAGUACCCUCAGGAAAAGAAAUCAAUAGAGAUUGCGUCAGUAGCGGCGAGCGAAAGCGCAAGAGGGCAAACCCAGUGCUUGCACUGGGGGUUGUAGGACUGCAAUGUGCAAGAGGUAAGUUUAGCAGAACAUUCUGGAAAGUAUAACCAUAGAGGGUGAUAGUCCCGUAUGCGAAAAACAAACCUUAGCUAGCAGUAUCCUGAGUAGGGCGGGACACGAGGAAUCCUGUCUGAAUCCGGGUCGACCACGAUCCAACCCUAAAUACUAAUACCAGAUCGAUAGUGCACAAGUACCGUGAGGGAAAGGUGAAAAGAACUGAGGUGAUCAGAGUGAAAUAGAACCUGAAACCAUUUGCUUACAAUCAUUCAGAGCCCUAUGUAGCAAUACAGGGUGAUGGACUGCCUUUUGCAUAAUGAGCCUGCGAGUUGUGGUGUCUGGCAAGGUUAAGCAAACGCGAAGCCGUAGCGAAAGCGAGUCUGAAUAGGGCGCUUAGUCAGAUGCUGCAGACCCGAAACGAAGUGAUCUAUCCAUGAGCAAGUUGAAGCUAGUGUAAGAACUAGUGGAGGACUGAACCCAUAGGCGUUGAAAAGCCCCGGGAUGACUUGUGGAUAGGGGUGAAAGGCCAAUCAAACUUCGUGAUAGCUGGUUCUCUCCGAAAUAUAUUUAGGUAUAGCGUUGUGUCGUAAUAUAAGGGGGUAGAGCACUGAAUGGGCUAGGGCAUACACCAAUGUACCAAACCCUAUCAAACUCCGAAUACCUUAUAUGUAAUCACAGCAGUCAGGCGGCGAGUGAUAAAAUCCGUCGUCAAGAGGGAAACAACCCAGACUACCAGCUAAGGUCCCUAAAUCUUACUUAAGUGGAAAACGAUGUGAAGUUACUUAAACAACCAGGAGGUUGGCUUAGAAGCAGCCAUCCUUUAAAGAAAGCGUAAUAGCUCACUGGUCUAGUGAUUUUGCGCGGAAAAUAUAACGGGGCUAAAGUAAGUACCGAAGCUGUAGACUUGCACACAACUUAGAUUAUUUAAGUUUAGAAUAUGAGAACUAAGUUAUAUGUUUAGUUAUAUUUUUACUGAUUUUUAUAGAGUAAAGAUAGAAAUAAAACUUAGUAAAAUCAGUAAAAAUAUUCUUAGACUAAAGUUAAGUAGUUUAAGUUGUGUGCAAGUGGUAGGAGAGCGUUCUAUUUGCGUCGAAGGUAUACCGGUAAGGAGUGCUGGAGCGAAUAGAAGUGAGCAUGCAGGCAUGAGUAGCGAUAAUUAAUGUGAGAAUCAUUAACGCCGUAAACCCAAGGUUUCCUACGCGAUGCUCGUCAUCGUAGGGUUAGUCGGGUCCUAAGUCGAGUCCGAAAGGGGUAGACGAUGGCAAAUUGGUUAAUAUUCCAAUACCAACAUUAGUGUGCGAUGGAAGGACGCUUAGGGCUAAGGGGGCUAGCGGAUGGAAGUGCUAGUCUAAGGUCGUAGGAGGUUAUACAGGCAAAUCCGUAUAACAAUACUCCGAGAACUGAAAGGCUUUUUGAAGUCUUCGGAUGGAUAGAAGAACCCCUGAUGCCGUCGAGCCAAGAAAAGUUUCUAAGUUUAGCUAAUGUUGCCCGUACCGUAAACCGACACAGGUGGGUGGGAUGAGUAUUCUAAGGCGCGUGGAAGAACUCUCUUUAAGGAACUCUGCAAAAUAGCACCGUAUCUUCGGUAUAAGGUGUGGUUAGCUUUGUAUUAGGAUUUACUCCGAAAGCAAGGAAACUUACAACAAAGAGUCCCUCCCGACUGUUUACCAAAAACACAGCACUCUGCUAACUCGUAAGAGGAUGUAUAGGGUGUGACGCCUGCCCGGUGCUCGAAGGUUAAUUGAUGGGGUUAGCAUUAGCGAAGCUCUUGAUCGAAGCCCGAGUAAACGGCGGCCGUAACUAUAACGGUCCUAAGGUAGCGAAAUUCCUUGUCGGUUAAAUACCGACCUGCAUGAAUGGCGUAACGAGAUGGGAGCUGUCUCAAAGAGGGAUCCAGUGAAAUUGUAGUGGAGGUGAAAAUUCCUCCUACCCGCGGCAAGACGGAAAGACCCCGUGGACCUUUACUACAGCUUGACACUGCUACUUGGAUAAGAAUGUGCAGGAUAGGUGGGAGGCUUUGAGUAUAUGACGCCAGUUGUAUAUGAGCCAUUGUUGAGAUACCACUCUUUCUUAUUUGGGUAGCUAACCAGCUUGAGUUAUCCUCAAGUGGGACAAUGUCUGGUGGGUAGUUUGACUGGGGCGGUCGCCUCCCAAAUAAUAACGGAGGCUUACAAAGGUUGGCUCAGAACGGUUGGAAAUCGUUCGUAGAGUAUAAAGGUAUAAGCCAGCUUAACUGCAAGACAUACAAGUCAAGCAGAGACGAAAGUCGGUCUUAGUGAUCCGGUGGUUCUGUGUGGAAGGGCCAUCGCUCAAAGGAUAAAAGGUACCCCGGGGAUAACAGGCUGAUCUCCCCCAAGAGCUCACAUCGACGGGGAGGUUUGGCACCUCGAUGUCGGCUCAUCGCAUCCUGGGGCUGGAGCAGGUCCCAAGGGUAUGGCUGUUCGCCAUUUAAAGCGGUACGCGAGCUGGGUUCAGAACGUCGUGAGACAGUUCGGUCCCUAUCUGCCGUGGGCGUAAGAAGAUUGAAGAGAUUUGACCCUAGUACGAGAGGACCGGGUUGAACAAACCACUGGUGUAGCUGUUGUUCUGCCAAGAGCAUCGCAGCGUAGCUAAGUUUGGAAAGGAUAAACGCUGAAAGCAUCUAAGCGUGAAGCCAACUCUAAGAUGAAUCUUCUCUAAGCUCUCUAGAAGACUACUAGUUUGAUAGGCUGGGUGUGUAAUGGAUGAAAGUCCUUUAGCUGACCAGUACUAAUAGAGCGUUUGGCUUAUCUUUAAUAAAGCAU
Molecule: ribosomal RNA, 3070 nt
Filed under: Campylobacter jejuni
Lineage: Bacteria; Pseudomonadati; Campylobacterota; Epsilonproteobacteria; Campylobacterales; Campylobacteraceae
Description: 23S ribosomal RNA
Rfam family: Bacterial large subunit ribosomal RNA
Source: RNAcentral